GCGUGCUCACGCGCGAGCUUAUUACCUCAAGCUAGCAUUAGCGGCGCCAAAAUAAUGGUGAGCAAUAUUGGAUCAAUCUAGCCGUACAGUUUUGACCCAGGUACCAGCUUGGACGAGGAAAAUGGAUGGAGAAAUGGGAGAAGGAGGAGCGAGUGGGCCGCAGUGAGGGCAGGAGUUCCCACAACCCACCUGGCAGAACGUGUCCCUCUCUGCCCAUUUUUUGCCCCAGUCAGUGGUGGAUAUGGUGGGUGGGGAUGAGGGCAUGCCCUUGCAGAGGCCGCAGGUGGUGUUGUAAAGGACUCGGGGUAUGGUCACCUGGAGGAGCGUGUUCCAGUCGAAAGCAACCUUCAGGCCAAAGUCCGUCUCCAGGAUCAGCAGCAUGCCCAGGGUGAAGAUGUUGACCUUUCCUGGGCCCAGCUUCAAAGUGAAGUUUAAAUACGACAGCGGCACCAGACGCUUGGGAAUUUGGAGACACCUGAAGGGACGAGGGAGACUCCAACAUGAAUUCCAGUCAACAAGCCAUGUAAACAAACAAACAAAGGAUUCUUAACUAACUCAUAUUACGCUUAUGGUUUAAGAAAUAAUCUUUUUUUUUUUUAGAACUUCGGUUGUUCUUAAGGAGCGGGUCUUGGGGGUAAAAGAGCACCAAAGGGUGGGCUUUUCUGGGAAGCACGGAUAUCCCACCAAGGAUUAAAGCAGUUGGGAGGAAAAGCGGGAAGAGGGAAUGCCCCCGAAACUGGAGCCGGGCUGACACUUCCAGCCCGACUGGAGCGGUCCUCCCAGAAACAGAGAAGGUCUGCAGAAUUACAUCGUCCCCACAGCCAAGCAUUCAGGCUGCGAAACAGAGCGCUGCGUGUUGGAGGCUCGUACAGUACAUUCUGGCUGUAACAAGAGCGAUGAGUCACUCCAAACGCCGCCUCAAUCGAGAUGUUGAAAUGGUCUGCUUAACAUGUAAGCAAACACUUUGAGAACAAGAUCUUUAUCUCGCCACCAAACUGUUGGAUCGAACCGCUGACCCCGUGACCUCUUCUUCCACUAAAACUUUCUUUCUCCAAAAUAUUUUUGAUUCUUUGAAAUUGCAGCUUUUUCAUUUCCUAAGCAGCUGAGGUUUUGUCGAAUCCCCUGAAUUCAUCAGUCUGUGAUUCCAGCUCCUUUACCUGCGGUCCACAUGGUCACUCGGUUUCUGAAAAGGCCUCGUCACCUGUCAUGGUUGGCGUAGCAUCGGAGGGGGCUGAAACCUGAGUUCAGAGACACGCAGGAUAAGAAAAUCACUUCGCAUUGAACAAACAAGAAGUGCUUCUGUGACGGACUGCACAUGAAGAAAAGCAAUAGUGUUUUCUGAAACUUAUCGUUUCCCUGGUUACUCAAUUCCACCUUUUUUUUAAACAACGAUCUUUAAAAAGGUUUCCUGAUUAUCUGCCUGCUCAUUCAGCAGCUAAACACUGACAAAUGAAUAAUGUCACCUACCAGACAUAACUGAAGGUCAGAAAAUAUUUUAUUUUGUAGCAGAUUUAAAAAAAACACUCAUUCCUUAACGAGUUCAUAUAUUUUAGUAACAUAAACACAUUAAAAAAUGAUCAACUAAAAGGAUUUGGAGCAAUCUUUUUGUAGUUUAUAACUAAACUAUGACUGAAAUGAACAAAUUACAUGUAAAAAAUGAAAAGCUAAUAAAACAGCUUACAACAAACUUGGGCAUGUAGCACAAAGAUAAAAAAAUAUGUGUAUUAGGUGUCCCAUAGAGUAAGAUCUAAAUGUAAAAUCAUCAGAAAAAGCUGAAAAUAAGUUCAAUAGUGCAAUGUGUACAAAUAUAUAUAUUAACUGUCUAAAAAAAUA
Oryzias melastigma (Indian medaka) is the source of this 1833-nucleotide long non-coding RNA. RefSeq lists it as uncharacterized. The transcript is spliced from 3 exons. NCBI's taxonomy places the organism in Eukaryota, Metazoa, Chordata, Actinopteri, Beloniformes, Adrianichthyidae. The record is from RefSeq and is a predicted model, not a curated record.